RNAcentral lists this ribosomal RNA (551 nucleotides) under Bifidobacterium animalis subsp. lactis. RNAcentral's name for it is "bacterial SSU rRNA". It matches the Rfam family "Bacterial small subunit ribosomal RNA", at positions 158 to 710 of the family's 1533-position model. The record is from RNAcentral. Lineage: Bacteria; Bacillati; Actinomycetota; Actinomycetes; Bifidobacteriales; Bifidobacteriaceae.
GGGUGGUAAUACCGGAUGCUCCGCUCCAUCGCAUGGUGGGGUGGGAAAUGCUUUUGCGGCAUGGGAUGGGGUCGCGUCCUAUCAGCUUGUUGGCGGGGUGAUGGCCCACCAAGGCGUUGACGGGUAGCCGGCCUGAGAGGGUGACCGGCCACAUUGGGACUGAGAUACGGCCCAGACUCCUACGGGAGGCAGCAGUGGGGAAUAUUGCACAAUGGGCGCAAGCCUGAUGCAGCGACGCCGCGUGCGGGAUGGAGGCCUUCGGGUUGUAAACCGCUUUUGUUCAAGGGCAAGGCACGGUUUCGGCCGUGUUGAGUGGAUUGUUCGAAUAAGCACCGGCUAACUACGUGCCAGCAGCCGCGGUAAUACGUAGGGUGCGAGCGUUAUCCGGAUUUAUUGGGCGUAAAGGGCUCGUAGGCGGUUCGUCGCGUCCGGUGUGAAAGUCCAUCGCCUAACGGUGGAUCUGCGCCGGGUACGGGCGGGCUGGAGUGCGGUAGGGGAGACUGGAAUUCCCGGUGUAACGGUGGAAUGUGUAGAUAUCGGAAAAGAACACC